GCUGGGCAUGGUGGCGCAUGCCUGUAAUCCCAGCUACUCGGGAGGCUGAGACACGAGAAUUGCUUGAACCUGGGAGGCGAAGGUUGCAGUGAGCCGAGAUUGUGCCAUUGCACUCCAACCUUCUAGCCUGGGUGACAGAGCAAGACUGUCUCAC
Macaca fascicularis (crab-eating macaque) is the source of this 154-nucleotide unclassified non-coding RNA. It matches the Rfam family "Metazoan signal recognition particle RNA". From Rfam's summary of the family: The signal recognition particle (SRP) is a universally conserved ribonucleoprotein. It is involved in the co-translational targeting of proteins to membranes. NCBI's taxonomy places the organism in Eukaryota, Metazoa, Chordata, Mammalia, Primates, Cercopithecidae. The record is from Ensembl.